RNAcentral lists this ribosomal RNA (391 nucleotides) under uncultured bacterium. RNAcentral's name for it is "bacterial SSU rRNA". It matches the Rfam family "Bacterial small subunit ribosomal RNA", at positions 28 to 420 of the family's 1533-position model. The record is from RNAcentral.
GACGAACGCUGGCGGCGUGCUUAACACAUGCAAGUCGAGCGGUAAGGCCCUUUCGGGGGUACACGAGCGGCGAACGGGUGAGUAACACGUGGGUGACCUGCCCUCAGCUCUGGGAUAAGCCUGGGAAACCGGGUCUAAUACUGGAUAUGACUCCAUGACGCAUGUUGUGGGGUGGAAAGCCUUGUGCGGCUGAGGAUGGGCCCGCGGCCUAUCAGCUUGUUGGUGGGGUGANGGCCUACCAAGGCGACGACGGGUAGCCGGCCUGAGAGGGCGACCGGCCACACUGGGACUGAGACACGGCCCAGACUCCUACGGGAGGCGGCAGUGGGGAAUCUUGCGCAAUGGGCGAAAGCCUGACGCAGCGACGCCGCGUGAGGGAUGACGGCCUCGG